UACAGAGGGUGCAAGCGUUAAUCGGAAUUACUGGGCGUAAAGCGAACGUAGGCGGUUACCUAAGUCGGAUGUGAAAUCCCCGGGCUCAACCUGGGAAUUGCAUUCGAGACUGGGUAGCUAGAAUGCGGAAGAGGGAAGCGGAAUUUCCGGUGUAGCGGUGAAAUGCGUAGAUAUCGGAAGGAACAUCAGUGGCGAAAGCGGCUUCCUGGUCCAGCAUUGACGCUCAGGUUCGAAAGCGUGGGGAGCAAACAGGAUUAGAUACCCUGGUAGUCCACGCCAUAAACGAUGAGGACUAGACGUUGAGAGGGUUAGCCUCCCAGUGUCGCAGCUAACGCGCUAAGUCCUCCGCCUGGGGAGUACGGCCGCAAGGUUGAA
Molecule: ribosomal RNA, 375 nt
Filed under: uncultured bacterium
Lineage: Bacteria
Description: bacterial SSU rRNA
Rfam family: Bacterial small subunit ribosomal RNA
Source: RNAcentral